RNAcentral lists this long non-coding RNA (3157 nucleotides) under Apis mellifera (honey bee). RNAcentral describes it as "uncharacterized LOC100578555, transcript variant X1". Lineage: Eukaryota; Metazoa; Arthropoda; Insecta; Hymenoptera; Apidae. The record is from RNAcentral.
UUUCCAAACACGAAACGGAACGGGCUCUCUGUUUCUCGCGAGAAUAUUGUAUCGUUUAUUGCAUUGUUUCGUGUAAUAUAAAUAUAGUUAUAAAUUAAUUAUUUAUCGUGAUUAGCGUGAAAAUUUUGCAUAAAAGUGCAUUAUGGAAGAACGAGUGUGACAAAGUGGAUGCAGCAAUGUUAUAUAUACAUAAUUUUUUUAAUAUCACUUUGAAAUCAUUAAAUAUUCAAUAUUUUUUUCGUUGUUUUAAAUAUUAAACUUUAUACUGGCACGGGAUUGAAUUAAAAAUUUUAAAUUAAAGUGUUUAAUUUUUAAUUCUUUAUCGCAUAUUUAUUGUACAAAAUAUCCCCGGAUGAAAUUGUUUUGAAAAUUGAAAAAAAUGUUGAAACUUUUGAGAAUUAAUUUCACUCUCUCAUUUCUCGUUCCAAAAAAAAAUUGCUUCGUGUAUAACGUAUUAUACAUACGUAUAAACUUUCAGUAAAAUCAUAUUCGGAUAAGAUGAAUUUCUUCGAAUUUGUAACCGAAUCAUUUGAUACGUGAAAAUCCCCACAAAAUUUUCCACAAAAUCAAUCAGAUACCUAUUAAAAAUCCCACACGAUUCGUUGAUUCAGAACUUGAUAAUUUCAUCUUCGAUCAUACACAACGAGACAACAAUCGACCGAGAACAAAUAUUAGCUUUCGGUAUCGGCGAACAGUUAGAAACCGAUAGAGUCUCAAAAGCUUGAUUCCUGGAAUAAGAUUAAUUAAUCGAUCGAUGUUAUUCGUUUGCGUCUCGUUGAUAAAAUCCGCGUGGCGCGUAAUCUGAUCACGCGCUCGCAAAGUAGGAAGGCGGCCGCAAAUACCGGUCGUCACGUUCUGGGGCUUAAGGGCGGACACGCGCAGGUGAAUCGUGCGAAACACCGCGAAACUUGGUCCGCGUGGUCCGCUUCGGUUCUAGUUUAAAAAUCGUUUGGAUAGUGGAGCGUUGCGCGUGGAUGCAUAUUUAUACGGAUGAAAUCGAGCGAUUAAGGGGGUCGAUUGUAACCCGGAAUGGAAAAAAAAAAAAAAAUUGCGGUCGUUUCCGGGGAUCGAUCGUUAAAUGGAUUUGUUGUUCUAUCUCGACAAUGGAGGGAGGGAGGGUACUGUGUUGGAGCUUGUUUGGACCAGAAAAGAGGGAAAUGUGAUUAUCGAGCGAAUAAAUUGAAAGUUUAUUCGUAUGGUGGACAUUUGUUUGUUUGUGUGUUAGCUUGUUUGACUGGAAAAUCGUUUUGGCUCCAAAUUUGAAGAUUGAUCGAGCGUUAAAUGAUGAAAUUUACUUAGAUAUCUAGACAGGUUUGCACCGACCUACAGACGCGCCAUCCUCCAACACUUAUCUCUACAUAUUACUGCAGAGAGUGAUUUAAUACAGGGAACGAUUUCUUCCCUCGAAUUCACGAUACAAGAAGCGUGCCUUCCAUAUGGAGAGUAAUAAUCUUGGUUGGUCUCUGAAAGAAGGUAAAAGGGAUGCUCCGAGGAAGAAGAGACGUUUCAUCAUUCGGCACGUGUGUACUCUACGGCAGUCAUUACCAACUGGCCUCGUUAAAAAGUACACGUUGGAUCAAUGAGGCCGGGACACCUUGUUAAUCUUGCCCCCGGUCACGUUUCUAUCCCUGCUGGUCAUCAUCGGGGAUAUAAAGCACACGUGUAUGAAAGAUUUCACAUUUCACUUUCGACUGUUUCUGAAAACUUGUUUCUUCGUUUACUCGAUCUUCUUUGUCUUGAAAGAAGAAGAAUCUCGCGAUUUCAAAGAUAUUCGAUCGAACAAUAAACUUGGAAUUCUUGAAUUCCUGCGAAUUUCAUAAAUAAUUAAACAACAAAGAAAAUUUGAUAGAAAUUAUUAUUUCGGUAUGAAACAAAUCGAUCGCAUUCAUUUCUAAAAAAUCAAACAAAAUUGUACUUCCGUUUCUUUUCAAUCUCUUUGCUUUAUAAUAGAAGAAAAAUCCAAUGAUUUCCAGAGUUGCUAAUUAAAACAAACUUCGAUCGCUAUCGCAUAAGAGAUAUAAUUAUAUAUAUAAAAAAAAAGGAAAAUAAUCGAAAUAAAAAAUACCACACAUUUUAUAGAUUCAAUCAGAUCCUAUUUCGUUUAACAUCGAUAGGGCGGAUACUUGGUUUAUUUUCAUAAAUAAUUCAAUAUUACUCCGUCUCGAUUCAAUUUAAUCCCCCCUUCGGCCAGUUACGCGUCUUCAUCCACGCCGUCCACGUCGGACAGACAAAAAGGAAAAGAAGAAAAGAAAAAAAAAAGGAAUACUUCAUCGAGCUUUGUUUUGCCGUGGAAUUAAGCGGCAAAAAGUCACGGUACACAAACACACACGGCGAGCUUUCUAGAUGCCCCCUGGAUGCCACACAGUGUUACACGCUUCCCUCCCCUCCUUUGCCUGUCCGCCGUGUGUCUCGCGAGUGGUAAGCAGCAGCCUCGCUACACGUAGAGUCUUGUCACCGGUCCGGAGGACUGGUUAGAGAGGAGGCGCUUAUCGCGAGCAACGAUCUCACUGACAGCCGCCAAUUAAAACAUGCUAACGAGCUGCUGAUCUCGCGAUAUCUCGAAGCGGGGCCUAAUUAAACUCCCGCCAUGCGGAGGGGGAAAGGUGGGAGGGGAAGGGAGGAGGGGAGGGAGGAUUCAGACGCGAAGGGGAUCGGCGAGGAACGACAAGACAGAAUCUACGAGAUCUCGGUGUGCGCCUAGACUUUAUCGUCCCCAAGGUCUUCGAGCCUGAUCCCAGCCAGGCAGCUGAUCUCUACUCUCCUGAACUUUAACAAACCUAUUUCCAACACACUCCAAUUACCAGGACACGUCUAAUCGAGGGGAGAGGGGAGAGGGGAUCUGAGAGGAAAAGGUGUAUCGAUGACAGUCGAUGUCCGGGGGAAGAAUGCUGGGGCAGGAUUAGGGAGAUGGAGAUAUUGAAAGUUGUUAGAUGAGUGUUUUUUUUUUUUUUUUUAGCUGUUGAUAAUUAUUUCGUAUAGGAAGACAGGUGUAACCUACGAUUUGAUUUUGAUGUCUUGAUUUUGUCGAAAAUUAUUUCAGAUAAAACAAUUGAAUGGUAUCGAGGAGAUUAUAUUAUAGUGUUAUUAAUUUUUUUCGAGAGUCAUAUAUAUCUAAUUAAAAUUAUUAGAUUCGAUUUGGUGAUGUUACGUUGGUCUC